This 387-nucleotide ribosomal RNA is filed under the name Phaeoclavulina cyanocephala. RNAcentral's name for it is "mitochondrial SSU rRNA". It matches the Rfam family "Bacterial small subunit ribosomal RNA", at positions 537 to 963 of the family's 1533-position model. The record is from RNAcentral. Lineage: Eukaryota; Fungi; Basidiomycota; Agaricomycetes; Gomphales; Gomphaceae.
AGCGUUAAUCAUCUUGAUCAGGCGUAAAGGGUUUGUAGGCGGCUUUAAAUAAACAUAAAGCUAGAAUCUAAUAGAGGUCACUUAAUAGAGAAUACUUAGAGUAGGGUUGACAUCUGCAGAUACUAAGUAGAAUUCUAACUAGCGAAAGCUCUUUUCCAAUUAAAGAUUGACGCUGAGAAACGAAGGGGAGGAAAGACAAUAGGAUUAGAUACCCUGGCAUCCCUCCCUGUCAACGAUGAAUGGUGGUUGCUAGUUUUAAAAGCUAGUGGCGAUGUUAACACGUUAACCAUUCCGCCUUGUGAGUACAAUUGCAAAAUUGAAAACAAAAAAAUUAGUCGGUUUCGGAGCAAACGAAGUGAAGCAUGUUAUUUAAUUCGAUAAUCCGCA